AGAGGAAGAAGAUCCACAGUGGAAUUGUUUGUGUGGGAGAGAGAGAGAAAGAAGAGGCGGAUUCCCUGCACUCCUUCCCAGGAGAUCCUGGAAGGAAGGGUUCCGAGAUGGGCGGCAGGAGCGACAGAGGAACUUGGAGCUGCGUCGGAAUUGCACCUGUUUCUUGCCACGGUUUUUGUGUUCCCGGUGGGAGGGCGGCGAGGAGGAAAAGGUGCCUGGCGAGUGGCGACAGAGAGGAAGAGGAGGAUGUGCUUGCUUGCUUUUAUCGAAGGAGAGGCGGUCUGGUCUCCCUGCCUUUUAUUUUGCAGCUUUGGGGAGAAGAGGAAGGCGCGCCUGGGAGGUUCAAGGGCUGCUUUGUUGAACUUUUCCUCCCAUUUUCUCAAUCCUAACUCUGCUGUGUCAUCAUGAAGAGACAUUAUCAGCUUGGCGCCCGAGAAGCUGAUUUCAUCGACUGAAGAACAAUGUAUUUGGUAGUUUCCAAGGCAACUACCAUUUAAAAAAUCCCAAAACGACAGAAGGCUCUUGUGUGAGGCGAAAGGUUGUGUACACUUCUUUCAUCUACUCCAUUUUCCCUUUUUUGGAAAACAAAUUGUUUUGUUUCUUCUCAAGAACGUUUCCAUUUUUUACCACUUUGGCACUGAGAAACUUUGAAGUCUAGCCAGGAGGUUGAUUAUACAAUGAAGAAUUGGACCUAAUCUCAUGGGUUAUCACAAGGAAAUGGCCUAAUGGGAGGAAGAAUGCCUGUUAAAUCUUCAACCUUGAAAGAGAAGAAGCUGCAGGUAUCUCCAUGGAUGAGGUCAUUCCUUGAAAAUGAUCCCAGAUCUUCUAUUGCCUUCUAGAUCCAGGCUGAUUUAUGACUCCUUCAACCAGGUGUUUCUCCAACCUGCCUUGAUUUUCAACAAUGGUAGCUUCUCCAUACACUCCUAAACAAGCUGUUUUACCUCAUUACCUGAUUGUUCCUAAUUUCUAAACUUUGGAACUCAUUUUAUUUUGCCCACACUUUACCAAAAGAUCUGAUUAUCAUUUUCUUAAAGACAAUCCAAUAUAUUAUGAUUUCUUCUCUGUCUUCUCCAAAUUAAGCAAGUUUCUGACUCUUUCAAACUUCCAUCACAAUGCCCUGCUAUUGCGGUUCAGGAGUGUAUAUGGCCAUGUGCUUGUUGCUAUGGCCUACUAUUGUGAUGUGGCUUGUGUUGUGGAGCAGCUCGGUGGAGUAAAUUCCUGUUUUCCACUAGUCAGAAAGACUACUUUUGGUUGGAGUUCGGAGAAGGACUUGGACAGCUUAGAAGAUAAUGGUGGAGGUCCAGCCUUUUGUGCUACUAAAGAGAGAACAUGCAAACGAAACCCUGGGUGUGGCGAAGCCGUUGCCUCGGAUCCGAUCUGUCAUUUGGAUUAUGCACUCUUCAUUUGCUCCAUCGUAAUUACUCUCCCCACCAAGUGCAUCCAGUGAAACCAUAUGAAGGCAGGACUUUGGUACAGUUGCUUUGAAUGCACCUUAAAGACCUGGAUGACGACAUCUGGAACAUUGCCCAAAAAGAAGCUAAGACAGGAAAUGAAUGAAGAACCUGAGAGUGGAAUUAACACCUGAAAUCUACAUGGAACUCCAUAAGUUUGGCAAAACCGUGCAACUGUUUGCUCUGUGAGGAAUACUCUUGCUAAAUGGAGGCAAGCUGCAAAAAAGUCAUCUGCUACUAAGAAAGAGAGAAACCUUUUUUACCCUUUCCAUAUGGAUUGUGCCUUUUUUCCAUUUCCAAAACAAAGACAUACGAAGCUUAUUGGUGAGAGUGUUGUAAAAGCUUUAAAUUAUAUUAUGGGGAGGAAGAAAUGGGGGAAAGAGGAGGAAUUGAUUUAAAAAACUGAUGCUAAGCAAUCGGGAAUCUACAAACAGAAAUCUACCAGGUUUUGUUACCAGAUCUCUGAAACAGGAAUUAAGAAAGAGGAAUCUACCUCCAAGUUCUUCUUACCUUGGAGAUAAGUUAUUCUUACCUUAUGAUCUAUGCUCAUAAGAAACUAACUGGCUGCUACUUCCCGGCGGAUAUCAGUUCUGUAAUACCGGCUAAACAGCAUAAUUUUUCCAGUGGUGUAGGGCGUAGACAUCCUGUGAUAAUGCAGCAUGUCUCAUUAAGAGCCACAUCCACUGUUUUAACAUGGUGAGAUGUAUUCCAUAGUGGACAUGCUUACUCAGCAGCAGAGUAGCAAAGCACAAGGGCAGAUGUUUUCACUGUAUCUGGUUGUAAUCCCUAGGUUGUACCAGUCAGCUUUUGUGUUAUAUUAUUUCUAGCACCCACUUUUUGCUUGAAAGUCAAGCAGUGCUUCUUGUAAAUCAGAGCACGAUCCAGAGUGACUCCCAGAUAUUUUGGUGUGCUGUAAUGUUCCAGUGGGAUUAUUUAUUUAUUAUUUAUUUACAGCAUUUAUAUUCCGCCCUUCUCACCCCGAAGGGGACUCACAUUACACAUAUAGGCAAACAUUCAAUGCCUUUUAAUAUAGAACAAAGACAAGACAAACACAGGCUCCGAGUGGGCCUCGAACUCAUAACCUCCUGGUCAGAGUGAUUCAUUGCAGCUGGUUGCAGCUGGCUUGCUCUCCAGCCUGAGCCACAGCCCGGGCCUAUAUAUAACUCAUUUCAGUGUAAUUGUGGGACACUAUCAAGGCAUGGGCAUCUCUGACCCAUUCUCUGUUCGGAUAUCAGCCAGCGUGCCAAUGACUUUUUUUUAAUACAUCAUAGCUGUAUUCCUAAUUUGCUUCUGACAUAAAUAUGAAUACUGUUAUAUGCAAGCCCACCUUACACUUGUGUGUGCCAUUUUUGUUUUUGCAGUGGCUGAUGUUCUUUACCAUCUUCUGAAAAUAAAUAUUUUUAAAAAUCUUACACUGUGCUUGAUCAUGUAGGAUCUUGCCCAUUGAACCAAUGGGGUUUUCUUAAGUACAUUCAGCAAACAACUGUCUCGUUCUGAUUAGGAAUAGCAAUUGGAUUUGGUGUUAGCUCUUACUUUUGUUGGCCUUUUCAAUGAGAAAUAUCUAUAGCCCUGCUCAGGUCUUGCAGACUCAGGGCAGUAGUUUGUUUAUAUCCUGCUUUCCUCUGUUAAACAAGACUGAAAACAGCUUAUAAAACUCAAAGCUGUACAAAUUCCAAUUUAAAGCCAACAACAUUUAAACAUUAACAUAGAAUUAAACAUAGAAAUAAGAAAUUAAACUAAAGAUCUAAUAUAAAAUACAGGUUUUGAGGAGACUAGGGCAAGGGUGGGAGUCAUGCACCCUUCCAGAUGAUGUGCAAUUGCAAUUCCCAGCAGUAGAGCAAGUGGAUGAUGGGAGUUGCCAUUCAGCAGUAACUGGAGAACUGCAUGAUUCUCAGGUAUGCAUUCGAAAGAAGAGAGCAAUUUUGUAGAGACGUUUGAGGGUGGAAUAUCUUGUCCCUUGUUUCUUCUCAAAGCAUAUUUCAGCCCCCACAAGAAACCAAGAACGUGUCUCUUUAAUAUAGAUAUAUAACAGGAAUAGGGAGUUUCAACAGGUGCGGUUUGUGGAACGAGCUGCACCUGCUGAAAUUCCCCCCAUAUAUGCAGUUAUUACUGGAGGACAGAGUUCAGCUGGAUAUUGUAAUAAACUCCUUCAUGCUGAGAAAAGCUUGAAAAUGGGAUCAGUGACCCGGAAGUAUGGUGAAGAUUUUGUCUGCUGGGGAUACUUAACACUUCUUCAUCAACUAGGAGGUUGGACUUUCUUUUAUAUGGGUCCUUGCAGAUCUUACCAUUCUGUGAUUCAUGCCAUAAUGAGAAUUGUCAACGUAGGAUGUGUCUACAUUGUACAAUUAAUGCAAUUUAACACCUUAACUGCUAGGGCUCAACAUUUUAGUUUUGCAAAGUCUUCAGCAUUCUCUGCCAAGGAGUGGUGCUCACCAAACUACAGCUCCUAGAAUUCCGUAACAUUAAUCCAUGGCAGCUAAAGUGGUGCCAAACUGCGUUAAUUUAGCAGUGUAGAUUGCUGGAACCCUCGGAGGUGGUUUAUGAAGCAGAGGUUGAAGGCAACAGUACAAUGGACCCAAGUUGUGCCCAUUUCUUUAAAACCUAAAUUGAGUCAUUUGAUGUAAGUGCAUCAGAAUAAUUGUCUAUGGCAGAGGCUCGCUUUGGCCAUUAUUGCAAGAUCGCAGAAGAAAGAAAUCACCCUAUAAUUUGCAAACCACAUUUGCACAUCCCACAACCAAGGAGAAAGUGAGAGAAAGGAAUGCAACUGUGAGGAUAUUAUUGAAACAUUUCAUGUGGAAAAGCUGUCCUUUCAAGUAGCCUUACCAAGAGGUUGCCGGUUGGAGUUUUGUGAUUAAUCUUGAAGUCAUCGCCUUCAGAAUGUUGUUUUAAGUUUGCCAAAGGAAAUUGAUGGAUUACUCCUCACUUAGAAGAAAUCCCUGUGGCUGGGAAUGGAGAAAAAUUGCCCAGGGGCAAGAGACCUUGAAUUUGUUUUAGGCUUAACAGGUUGCAAGAUAAGAGUGUGAUCAAAGGAAUAAAUCAGUCCAGAAAGAAAGAAAACUACCAAGGAGAAGCUCAGCUCCAGAGAUACUUUUAAAGCAAAGCCAGGAUACACCCAGAUCUGGAUUGUGACCGAUAGGCAGGCCUUUUGGUUUUCGGUCAAGGUCUUGCCUCUCCUAAACUGCAAGGUGUCUUUCAUGAUGGUUGGUAAUGUAUAUCUUCUGUUUCUGACAUGCCUUGCUGUCUUUAGCAGAUUUUGGCAUGGGUCUGUGAUAAUGUCAACACCCACAAGCCAUUUGCCAGUAUGAACCAAAAACAAAAAGGAACGAGGAGGUUCUUGGCUUGGACGUAGAUAGCCAGCAAGCUGAUUGGUAACACAGAUGAAUGAAGAGGCUACAUAGGCUGGAAGUCAAUAGCUACGGUAGAUCACUACUUGGUAGUGUAACUAGCCCACUGACUACUGAUAGAUGUUUUGUUUCCCAGAUCUUUGGACUUCAACUUCCAGCGAACUCAUGGUCUGAGACUUGGAGUUCAAAAUAAGUGGAGAACCAAAAGUUGAGAGCUGCUGACUUGGAGACACAUUCAAAUUAUAGUUCUACUGGAAACUAAAAUGUCUAGAGGAGCAAAUUUCAUCCAUUAUGCUUUCUGAGAUAUUUUGGUCAUUGACUGUCAGAAAAAUACUGAGUUAUAUGGGCAUAUUAUUUUUGGUCCAGUUUAGUACUAGUGUUCUUAACUCAUAAGUAUCACAGUUGGCUCUCCACAUUCAUGGGCUUAACCACAGCUGCUAUAGAGAUAGGGAUUUUGAAUGGCUCCUUUUCUGGACCGCAACUCCAGUAUUCAUGUUUACUGGGGUUUUUGGAAAGCCUAGAAAAGAAACUUCUCCAGAUCCUUCCUUUUUCAGUUUGAGUGGAUUGUGUUCUGCUUAGGUUCCUCCUUGAGCUUCAGGAGGAAAUGGGAGAUGGUUCGGCUUUCUCAUUCAUGGUUGCCUCUGCGGUCAUACGAAAAGGAAACGUCUUUUUCUUUAAAAACCCAAACAUGUGCUCACAUCUCUCUCUCUUUUUUUCUAGGUCAAGCAGUGGCCUCAUUCCUCACCAGAAGGAAGUCCGUCUGGAGCUCCCUCAGGAAGCUGGUUUCAUAUGGUGGUUUAGAUUUAAGUACACAAUGUCUAGCACCAUUUGAAAUCAGUGCUCUUGGAGGAAGAAUGGCAGCUCUUUCAGUCUCCCCAGGAAGCCACCGGGGCUUCCAAGGCGAAGGGGGAUUUAAGGCAUCUGAUAAAGUGUGUUUUUUAGCAGCAACCACUUAAGAAAUAUUUACGGCCUACAUUUUAACAAAUAGCUUUGACAGCAAAAUAGAAGGAAGAGCAAAAAAAAAAAAGAACAACCCAAACAAUUUACUUAGAGCAACCACAAAAAAUAAAUGAAUCUUCUCUUAGGAAUUGGCUACGUGUGAGAAGUUAAAUGAUUUCAUUUGUACCAAGAUGCGGUUUAUAGUAGCAAUAUAAUGAUCCUCAUUGAAGCAGAAUUUGGGUUUGGGUAUAAUUGUGAAAAAUCAUACCCCAGUGUUUUAUGUGCUUCUUACAGAUGCAAACUGUUCAUAAUCAUGCAAUGUUUUAAAAAAGGGGGAAUGUAUAGGAUAUAAAGAGAGGCUAGGUAUAAAGAUUAAUAUGACUAUCUCAAAAAAAUAUUUGUUUAAAAAUGACCUCUAUUAAAUACAUAUCCGUGCAUAAUUGAAGCAUAACUGACGUACUCAGCCUUGAACAAUGGAUAGUAAAGAGGUACCUUUCAGAUUUCAGGAUACAGUCUUUUGGCAAUAGGUGAAGCAUGGAAGAUCCAACAAAGGGUGCAGGAAUGUAUUUUAAAGGAACAUCUCCAUCUAGAAACAACAACGAUUUUAAUGCAACAAUAGCAUGUUAUGACACGUCUUGCCAAAAGUCCCAAAAUAUAGCCACGUCACAUGGCAUAAGGCCUAUGACUCGUAUAUGGCUUCUUAGAAAAAUCAGUUAUUGACAUAUUUUGUCUGUAAAAAUAAGAUGUGAAAUUCUAAGAAUCUUCUUGUUUGCAUGGAGAAGCACAGUGUAAAGUGAGUGGGAACAAAGAGUGAAUCAGCUUGACCCCGCAAAGGAGAAAUUGUUUUCAGAAUAAAAUAACUGUUCUGCAGUAGCUCAAAGGAAACUGAUUUGGUUGAACAUAAAGCAAUCACGCUUUUGUCAGCAGCUUGCAUCUCCGAUUGAGCUGUGCAAGUAUUUUAAUUCCACCAGUGAGUCUGCUUUUUAUUUCAUUUGUUGAAUGAGGAAAAAUCCCAUUAUAUUAGUCUAAUGAAACUUAAUUGUGCCUAACAGAAUGGAUGUGCUCUUUUAAAAUAAGAUGCUUACAAGAUUCCUUGUGUAUAUUAAAUUAGGAGCGUCAGCCUUUGGCUCCGUAGAGUCCGGUCACCCCUUUAAAGGAUGACUGAUUUCUUCUGGUGUUCGGAGUCUAGUUCUCUUUCUAGCACCAUUUGAAAUCGGUUAUAGUGAUUGGGGAAUAUCACCAUGGAAGCAGGCUGGAACGGCGGAGUGUAGAAAUAAAGACGUUGCUUCUUUCAGCCAUCACAGCUGGAAGGGCAGGACAAGGCUUGAAGUCCUAACUCUGCAGUGGACUAUAUGGAGGAGCAAAGAAGAAAGAAGAAGAUGCUGAAUUGGGGCUGGAUGUAUCAUUCCCCCCCCCUCCCCAAAAUAAAGAAACUGAAGUUUACCUCGCAGAGCUGGUGUAUGGUCUAAUACAAUAAAAGUUGCAGUGCUCUUUGCAAACCAAACAUUUGAUAAUAAUUGCUGUCAGCCAACUUUGAGAUGACUAUGAAUGGGAGUUCUCCAGGUCAUCUAUUCAUAUGAAUGGCUUGGAGGUCUCCCAUUCAUAUGAGAUGAUUAUGAAUAAUGAGAUUCAUUUUCAGAUGACCUAUUUGUAUGAGAUGACUUUUCAUAUGAGAUGAUUAUGAAUGGGAGACCUCCAAGUCAAUUCAUUCAUCUUGAACAGCUCUUUGCUACUGCCUUCCAUUAUAGAAAAGCAUUAUUGUCUUUUCUAGCGAGUCAUGUCGUCUUAUGAUACAUCUCAAAUAUAACAGCGUAAUUGAAUCCUUGAGUUGGAAGAGACCCCAAUGACCAUCCAGUCCAGCCCCAUUCUGCCAUGUAGAAAUAACCAAAGUAUUCCCAACAGUUUAACCUCUUGGCUGCUAGAGAGAGCUCCAGCAUUUCUCAGAUACCUUAAACAACACCUGAAUCAUGGCCAUUGUGUGUGUAAGUCACCUGUCAAGUUAUGGUAACCAUUGAAUAUAAUGGGGGUUUUUAGACAAGAGGUACUCAGAUGUACUUUCGCCAGUUCCUCUAAAAUAAGAGCCUAUAGCACUUAUUCAUUGGUGGUCUUCCGUCCAAGUACUAACCCUUCUUAGCUUCCACAAUCGGAUAGUUGUCUUGUGCCUUUAGGAUAUUUAAGAUCAUUAAGGGAUUUGUAUUUCUGAAAGUCUAGAAGGCAAUUGAGAUCGCUCCUUAUUUUCUACUCUGGCUGGCAGGGGCUGCUAGUUGUUUUUUUAUCUGCAUCCUCUAUUUGUUUGCUUUGCUGGAAUUACUGGGGAAUUAUGAAUGCUACCUGCAUUAGAGGAAUGUGCUUUACCACCGAGUUACCAUCACUCUUUCCUCCCAAGUAAAAUCUGAGUGUGUGGCGUC
Molecule: long non-coding RNA, 8142 nt
Organism: Anolis carolinensis (green anole)
Lineage: Eukaryota; Metazoa; Chordata; Lepidosauria; Squamata; Anolidae
Exons: 5
Source: RefSeq, a predicted model, not a curated record